RNAcentral lists this ribosomal RNA (433 nucleotides) under uncultured bacterium. RNAcentral describes it as "partial 16S ribosomal RNA". It matches the Rfam family "Bacterial small subunit ribosomal RNA", at positions 29 to 507 of the family's 1533-position model. The record is from RNAcentral.
AACGAACGCUGGCGGCAUGCCUAACACAUGCCAGUCGAACGAGACCUUCGGGUCUAGUGGCGCACGGGUGCGUAACGCGUGGGAACCUGCCCUUAGGUUCGGAAUAACUCCCCGAAAGGGGUGCUAAUACCGGAUAAUGUCUUCGGACCAAAGAUUUAUCGCCUUUGGAUGGGCCCGCGUUGGAUUAGCUAGUUGGUAGGGUAAAAGCCUACCAAGGCGACGAUCCAUAGCUGGUCUGAGAGGAUGAUCAGCCACACUGGGACUGAGACACGGCCCAGACCCCUACGGGAGGCAGCAGUGGGGAAUAUUGGACAAUGGGCGAAAGCCUGAUCCAGCAAUGCCGCGUGAGUGAUGAAGGCCUUAGGGUUGUAAAGCUCUUUUACCCGGGAUGAUAAUGACAGUACCGGGAGAAUAAGCUCCGGCUAACUCCGUG